RNAcentral lists this long non-coding RNA (785 nucleotides) under Mytilus galloprovincialis (Mediterranean mussel). The record is from RNAcentral. Lineage: Eukaryota; Metazoa; Mollusca; Bivalvia; Mytilida; Mytilidae.
AAAAUCACAUAAUUUGCCUCUUAGUACAUGACCUUGACGUUUCGACCUUUGUCAAGGUCUUUGCUCCACAAUGUCAUUGCAAAAGACCCUAUGAGUCAAGGACCUUUUGUUUAAGAGUUUUGCCUAAUAAUGGCUUUUUAUAAACCAUAAACGGGGGUUAUGUCCCUUACAUAAUGGUAAAACCAAUACAGUUAUAACGUAACAAAGUUGCCCCUUAAAGUACCAAGCAUUUUUCACUACUUAAAUUUCUGUAUCUAUAACCAUUCCAAAGUUAUAGGGAAAUCAAAAACAAAUAAAAAUCUAAAAUACGACCUUGACCUUUGACCUUGACCUAAUUUUCAUUUUUUUGGACCAAGGACCUCAAAUCAAAAGAUCCUAGGUCUCUAUCAAUUAUGGUGUUCCAGUUUGAAAUACAUUUCAAAAUUUCAAAUACAAAAAGGGAAAUAACUCUCAUAUGGAGCGUUCAUAUUGCUUCGGUCGAAAUUGGACAAAUCAUGCGAAGGAUAUAACGAGCAAUUUUAUAAAAUAAAUUUGUCGUAAUCUUUUACGGUUGCGAAGGAGUUGUGGACACAAGGAAAACAGUGUUUGGGGAGAUAACUCCUACAAAGAAAAGUAUUCGGUUACGCAGGGUAAAUUUCAAAAGUGCAUAAACUGUUCGAUAUCAUAUACCAAAUAUCUAAGCAACAUAUUGCGAAACAAAUGUUUAUCGCAAGAACAAAAUUUGGCGGAAGAAAAAAAAAAAAUUAAAAACCAAUUGUUCAGAGAACAAUUGAAGGUCUUUCCAC